GACGAACGCUGGCGGCGUGCUUAACACAUGCAAGUCGAACGAUGAAGCCGGAGCUUGCUCUGGUGAAUUAGUGGCGAACGGGUGAGUAACACGUGAGUAACCUGCCCUUGACUCUGGGAUAACUGCGGGAAACUGUAGCUAAUACCGGAUACGACCCUCGGAGGCAUCUCCUGGGGGUGGAAAGAAUUUCGGUCAAGGAUGGACUCGCGGCCUAUCAGCUAGUUGGUGAGGUAAAGGUUCACCAAGGCGACGACGGGUAGCCGGCCUGAGAGGGUGACCGGCACACUGGGACUGAGACACGGCCCAGACUCCUACGGGAGGCAGCAGUGGGGAAUAUUGCACAAUGGGCGCAAGCCUGAUGCAGCAACGCCGCGUGAGGGAUGACGGCCUUCGGGUUGUAAACCUCUUUUAGCAGGGAAGAAGCGAAAGUGACGGUACCUGCAGAAAAAGCACCGGCUAACUACGUGCCAGCCGCCGCAGUAA
RNAcentral lists this ribosomal RNA (483 nucleotides) under uncultured bacterium. Its description in RNAcentral is "partial 16S ribosomal RNA". It matches the Rfam family "Bacterial small subunit ribosomal RNA", at positions 28 to 523 of the family's 1533-position model. The record is from RNAcentral.